UCAUUCAACCCUACAGUGAAAAUAGGGAAGUGUUUAGAGGAGGACAACAGAAACACAGGAAGUGGACAGCUGAAAAUGAGAAUGUGAAAUUUUAGCGUUUUCACACUCAGUGCCAGCCUCUGCCCCUUCCCUAGGCCAACGCCUCCUUUUCCGACAAUGUCUUCACUCUGGAACAGGAACAUGGCAGAAGGGAGAGAGGAAGGGAGGAUACAAGUGUCUGGCUGCCGGUGAAGGCUCAGUGCAGACGGAGCAGAGAGGAACACUCAUCGCCCAGUCUUCCCUGAGACAGAUCUAAUUGCAUACUUUAAAAUCUGCUGCCUGGGGAUCUGGCUUCCAAUCAGCUUGCGUUUACGUGCUGACUGAGAUCUUCUCCUUGGAACACUGACAGGUCUUGGCACACCAUGAACUAUUGGGAGUCACUAAGAACAAAGAAAGCAGCCUGAAUAAUCGCAAAGGUUUGAGAGAUAACCAAGAGCUCAGACCAGGCUGAAUGACAAGGUUCAUCUCCUACUUGAGACUAUUCCACCAAGGUAGGAGAGAUGGCUAUUUCAUCUAAUGCACAGAAACCAAUGCAGACAUUCAAGAAAAUUCUGCAUUCUGCAUUCAAGGAAAAUGAAGAAACAAAGGAAAGUAUUCUAAACAAAAAAAACAAGAUAAAACUCCAGAAACGGGUCUUAUUGAAAUGGAGAUGAGUGGUUUACCGGAUAAAGAGUUCAAAACAAUGGUUAUAAAAGUUAUCAAUGAGGUCAGAAAAACAAUGCAUGAACAGAGUCAGAAUUUCAAUAAAGAGACAGAAAAUAUAAGAAAGUAACAACUAGAAAUCACUGAGCUAAAGAACACAAAAACUGAACUAAAAAAAUUCAAUAGAAGGUUUCAACAGCAGACUGGAUUAAGAAGAAAGAUUCAACAAACUCGAAGACAGUGCAGUGGAAUUUAUCCAAUCAGGGCAGCAAAAAAAAAAAAAAAAAAGGAAUUAAAAAAAGUGAAGAUAGCUUAAGAGACUUAUGGGACAGGAUAAAAAGAUCAAUAUUCACAUUCACAUUGUAGGGGUCCUAGAAGAGAGAGAGAAAGGAGAAGAAAGCUUAUUCAAAGAAAUGAUCACUGAAAACUUCCCUAACCUGGGGAAACCCAGUUACAAGAUCCAAGAUCCAAUUACAAGAAGAAAACUAGAAUAUUCACAAAUAUGUGGAGAUUAAACAUGUUACUGAUGACCAAUAGGUCAAUGAAGAACUCAAAAGAGAAAUCGAAAAAUAUCUUGAAACAAAUGAAAAUGGAAUACAACAUACCAAAACUUAUGGGAUGCAGCAAGAGAAGUUCUAAGGCGGAAGUUCACAAUGAUAAAUGCUUACAUUAAAAAAUAAGAAAACUCUCAAAUAAACAACCUACCUCUAUACCUCAAGAAACUAGAAAAAGAGAAAACUAAGCCCAAGGAUAGCAAAAGGGAGAAAAUAACCAAGAUCAGAGCAUAAAUAAAUGAUGUAGGGACUAAAUAGACAAUAGAAAAGAUCAAUGAAACUGAGCUCUUUUUUUGAAGAGAUAAGUGAAAUAGACAAACCUUUAGCGGGACUCACCAAGAAAAAAAAGGAGAGAGGACUUGAAUAAAUAAAAUUAGAAGUGAAGUAGAAGAUAUUACAACUGAUACUACAGAAAUCCAAAGGAUCAUAAGAGACUACUAUGAAAAAUUAUAUACCAACAAAUUAGAUAACCUAGAAGAAAUGGAUAAAUUUCUAGAAACACACACCUUACCAAGACAGAAUCAUGAAACAGAAAAUCUGAACAGACCAUUUACUAGUAAGGAGAUUAAAUCAGUAAUCAAAAAUCUACAACAAACUAGAGUCCAGAACCAAAUAGUUUCACUGGUUAAUUCUACCAAAUACUUAAAGAUGAAUUCAUACCAAUCCUUCUCAAACUUCUCAAAAAAAAUUGAGGAAGAGGGGACACUUCCAAACUCAUUUUGCAAGGCCAGUAUUACCCUGAUACCAAAACCAAAGAUGCCACAAGAAAAAAAUAUUAUAGAUCUAUAUCCCUGAUGAACAUAGAAGCAAAAGCUUUCAAGAAAAUGUUAGCAAAUCAAAUUCAACAGUACAUUAAAAGAAUCACACACCAUGAUCAAAUAGGAUUUAUUCCUGUAUUGCAACAAUGAUUUAAUACCCACAAAUCAGUGCGAUACACCACAUUAACAAAAUGAGGGAUAAAAAUCAUAUCAUCUCAAUAGAUGGAAGAAAAGCACUUGACAAAAUUCAACAUCCAUUCAUAAUAAAAACUCUCAACAAACUGUGUAUAGAGCAAAAGUACCUCAACAUAAUAAAGUAUAUAUAUGACAAACCCGCAGCUAACAUCGUACUCAACUUUGAAAGGCUGAAAGCUUUUCCUCUAAGAUCAGAAACAAGACUAGGAAGCCCACUCUCAUAACUUUUAUUUAACAUAUUACUGGAAGUCCUAGCUAGAGCCAUUAGGCAAGAUAAAGAAAUAAAAUCAUCCAAAUAGGAAAGGAAGAAGUAAGACCCUCUCUAUUCGCAGAUGAUAAAAUCUAAAGACUCUGCCAAAAAACUGUUAGAACUAAUAAACUAGUACUAAUAAAUUCAGUAAGAUUACAGUAUAUAAAAUCAACCUACAAAAAUCAGUUGCAUUUCUGUAUGCUACAAAUGACCUAACAGAAAGCAAAAUUGAGAAAACAAUCCCGUUUACAACUACACCAGAAAGAAUAAAAUAUCUAGGAAUAAAUUUACCCAAGGAAGUAAAAAUCUGUACACUGAAAACUAUAAGACUUUAAUGAAAGAAACUGAAGAAGACACAAAUAAAUGGAAAGGUAUUCUGUACUCAUGGAUUGGAAGAAUUGAUCUUGUGAAAAUGACCAUACUGCUCAAAGCAAUCUACAGACUCAAUGUAAUCCCUAUCGUGGAGGGGCCAGCCCAAUGGCAUAGUGGUUAAGUUCACAUGCUCUGCUUUGGCAGCCUGGAGUUUGCAGGUUUGGAUCCUGGGUAUGGACCUACACACAACUCAUCAAGCCAUGCUGUGGCAUGGUGGCAUCCCACACACAAAUCAGAGGAACAUUGGCACAGGUGUUAGCUCCGUGACGAUCUUCCUUAAGCAAAAAGAGGAAGAUUGGCAAUAGAUGUUAGCUGUUAGCUCAGGGCCAAUCUUCCUCACUGAAAAAAAAAAUUUCCAAUAGUAUUUUUCACAAGAAUAGAACGAACAACUCUAAAAUUUGUAUGGAACAGCAAAAGAUCUGAAUAGCCAGAGCAAUCUUGAGAAAGAAGAACAAAGCUGGAGGCAGGAUGAGUUUUGAUUUCAAACUAUAUUACAAAACUAUAGCAAUCAAAACAGUAUGGUAUUGGCAUAAAACAGACACAUAGAUCAAUGGAACAGAAGAGACAGUCCAGAAAUAAACCCAUACACAUAUGGUCAAUUAAUUUACAACAAAGCCAAGAAUAUAUUCUUGGGAAAGAUAGUCUCUAUAAUGAAUGGUGCUGGGAAAACUGGACAGCCAUGUGCAAAAGAAUGAAACCAGACUCCUAUCUUACACCAUAAACAAAAAUCAGCUCAAAAUUGAUUAAAGACCUGAAUGUAAGACCUUAAACUGUAAAACUCCUAGAAGAAAACACAGAGGACAAGCUGUUUGACAUUGGUCUUGGCAAUAAAUUUUUUGGAUUUGAUACCAAAAGUAAAGGCAAUAAAAGCAAAAUAAAAAAUGGGACUACAUCAAACUAAAAAGCUUCUGCAUAGCAAAGAAAACCAUCAACAAAAGGAAAAGGCAAUUUAUGGAGUGGGAGAAAAUAUUUGCAAACUACAUAUCUUAUAAAAGGUUUAUAUUCAAAAUAUAUAAAGAACUCAUAUAACUCAAUAGCAAAACCCCAAACAAGCCAAUUACAAAAUGGCCAGAGGAACUGAAUAAACAUUUUCCCAAGGAAGACACAUAAAUGGUCAACAAGUACGUGAAAAGUUGCUCUGCAUCACUAAUAAUCAGGGAAACGCAAAUCAAAGCCACAGUGAGCUGUCACCUCACUCCUGUUAGAAUGGCUCUCAUCAAAAAAACAAGAGAUAACAAGGGUUAGGGAGGAUGUGGAGAAAAGGGAACGCUUGUCCACUGUUGGAAGAAUGUAAAUUGGUACAGCCGCUGUGGAAAACAAUAUGAAGGUUGCUCAAAAAAUUAAAAGUAGAGCUACAAUACGAUCCAACAAUUCCACUUCUGCAUCUAUAUCGAAAGGAAAUGAAAAUAGGAUAUAGGACAUUGAAGAUAGCUGCACUCCUGUGUUCAUUGCAGCAUUAUUUACAAUAGCCAAGAUAUGGAAACAAUCUAAGAGCCCUUUCAACUGAUGACUGGAUAAGAAGAUGUGGGAUAUAUACCCAAUGGAAUACUAUUCAGCCAUAAAAAAUAAGGAAAUCCUGCAUUUGCAACAACUUGGAUGAACCUUGAGGGCAUUACGGGAGGAGAGUCUAAGGGAAGAGCCCACUCAACCAUGAUGCUCCAGGUUGUGAGUUUUCAUGCUGCCCAUAUGAUGCAGUGAUAGACGCAUAUUCCCAAAUCAGGAUGACUGAUUUCCUAUCAAGAGUAGACCAGGAAUGACUGGAGAUGAUGAACUUACACAAAAUCCAGAAGAACCAGAGGGCCCCAGAAAAUUAAUGUUUAAAAAUCUGAUAUAAGAGAUGCGUAACUCUUCCUUAACAUAGCAAAUCCUGA
Long non-coding RNA from Equus caballus (horse), 4681 nucleotides. NCBI's taxonomy places the organism in Eukaryota, Metazoa, Chordata, Mammalia, Perissodactyla, Equidae. The record is from Ensembl.